Molecule: long non-coding RNA, 272 nt
Filed under: Brassica napus (rape)
Lineage: Eukaryota; Viridiplantae; Streptophyta; Magnoliopsida; Brassicales; Brassicaceae
Description: long non-coding RNA (BNAP_LNC015209)
Source: RNAcentral
AAAAAGGAAAUAGUUAGACUUAGGGUUUUUAUUCAGGAAAUUUGGGAUGAUAAUCCUACAGAUGCCUAAUGAUUUGCAUGCAUGAUAAUGUAAAGCUCAACUACUUGAUUAACAAGUCAAUCAGCUCUCGCAUGUAUUGACUUGUCUAUUAACUAGAUCUAUUAAUCUCAACUGUUGUAUUUUGAUCAAUAGAAAGUGUCGAUCGAUAAUCCUAUAGGGAUAUCGAUCGAUACCCUUUUUGCUCCGUCGAUCGAUUAUUCAAUUGUGAUAUC